GUGGGGAAUAUUGGACAAUGGGGGGAACCCUGAUCCAGCCAUGCCGCGUGUGUGAAGAAGGCCUUUUGGUUGUAAAGCACUUUAAGCGAGGAGGAGGCUACCGAGAUUAAUACUCUUGGAUAGUGGACGUUACUCGCAGAAUAAGCACCGGCUAACUCUGUGCCAGCAGCCGCGGUAAUACAGAGGGUGCGAGCGUUAAUCGGAUUUACUGGGCGUAAAGCGUGCGUAGGCGGCUUUUUAAGUCGGAUGUGAAAUCCCCGAGCUUAACUUGGGAAUUGCAUUCGAUACUGGGAAGCUAGAGUAUGGGAGAGGAUGGUAGAAUUCCAGGUGUAGCGGUGAAAUGCGUAGAGAUCUGGAGGAAUACCGAUGGCGAAGACAGCCAUCUGGCCUAAUAUUGACGCUGAGGUACGAAAGCAUGGGGAGCAAACAGGAUUAGAAACCCGUGUAGUCC
Molecule: ribosomal RNA, 451 nt
Filed under: uncultured bacterium
Lineage: Bacteria
Description: partial 16S ribosomal RNA
Rfam family: Bacterial small subunit ribosomal RNA
Source: RNAcentral